AUACUUACCUGGCAGGGGAGAUACCAUGAUCACGAAGGUGGUUUUCCCAGGGCGAGGCUUAUCCAUUGCACUCCGGAUGUGCUGAUCCCUGCGAUUUCCCCAAAUGUGGGAAACUCAACUGCAUAAUUUGUGGUAGUGGGGGACUGCGUUCGCGCUUUCCCCUG
This is a small nuclear RNA of Bos indicus x Bos taurus (hybrid cattle), 164 nucleotides long. Its record names the gene U1. It matches the Rfam family "U1 spliceosomal RNA". Rfam says of the family: U1 is a small nuclear RNA (snRNA) component of the spliceosome (involved in pre-mRNA splicing). Its 5' end forms complementary base pairs with the 5' splice junction, thus defining the 5' donor site of an intron. The record is from Ensembl. Lineage: Eukaryota; Metazoa; Chordata; Mammalia; Artiodactyla; Bovidae.